RNAcentral lists this ribosomal RNA (305 nucleotides) under uncultured bacterium. RNAcentral's name for it is "bacterial SSU rRNA". It matches the Rfam family "Bacterial small subunit ribosomal RNA", at positions 335 to 639 of the family's 1533-position model. The record is from RNAcentral.
ACCCUACGGGACGCAGCAGUGAGGAAUAUUGGUCAAUGGCCGCAGGGCUGAACCAGCCAAGUCGCGUGAGGGAUGACGGUCCUAUGGAUUGUAAACCUCUUUUGUCAGGGAGCAAAGGGCGCCACGUGUGGCGUUUUGCGAGUACCUGAAGAAAAAGCAUCGGCUAACUCCGUGCCAGCAGCCGCGGUAAUACGGAGGAUGCGAGCGUUAUCCGGAUUUAUUGGGUUUAAAGGGUGCGUAGGUGGAUCGUUAAGUCAGUGGUCAAAUUGAGGGGCUCAACCCCUUCCCGCCAUUGAAACUGGCGG